Molecule: ribosomal RNA, 279 nt
Filed under: uncultured bacterium
Lineage: Bacteria
Description: partial 16S ribosomal RNA
Rfam family: Bacterial small subunit ribosomal RNA
Source: RNAcentral
UGCCAGCCGCCGCGGUAAUACGAAGGGGGCGAGCGUUGUUCGGAAUUACUGGGCGUAAAGGGCGCGUAGGCGGCUCUUUAAGUUAGGCGUGAAAGCCCCGGGCUCAACCUGGGAACUGCGCUUAAGACUGGAGAGCUAGAAAACGGAAGAGGGUAGUGGAAUUCCCAGUGUAGAGGUGAAAUUCGUAGAUAUUGGGAAGAACACCAGUGGCGAAAGCGGCUACCUGGUCCGGAUUUGACGCUGAGGCGCGAAAGCGUGGGGAGCAAACAGGAUUAGAUA